GGACGAACGCUGGCGGCGUGCCUAACACAUGCAAGUCGAACGGAGUUCCUAAGGAUUGAGGCUUCGGCUGAUUCCUUUUGAACUUAGUGGCGGACGGGUGAGUAACGCGUGAGGAACCUGCCUUUCAGAGGGGGACGACAGUUGGAAACGACUGCUAAUACCGCAUAAUGCAUAGAGACCGCAUGAUCUUUAUGCCAAAGAUUUUAUCGCUGAAAGAUGGCCUCGCGUCUGAUUAGAUAGUUGGUGGGGUAACGGCCUACCAAGUCGACGAUCAGUAGCCGGACUGAGAGGUUGAACGGCCACAUUGGGACUGAGACACGGCCCAGACUCCUACGGGAGGCAGCAGUGGGGAAUAUUGCGCAAUGGGGGCAACCCUGACGCAGCAACGCCGCGUGAAGGAAGAAGGUCUUCGGAUUGUAAACUUUUGUCUUCUGGGAAGAUAAUGACGGUACCAGAGGAGGAAGCUCCGGCUAACUACGUG
RNAcentral lists this ribosomal RNA (481 nucleotides) under uncultured bacterium. RNAcentral's name for it is "bacterial SSU rRNA". It matches the Rfam family "Bacterial small subunit ribosomal RNA", at positions 27 to 507 of the family's 1533-position model. The record is from RNAcentral.